This 379-nucleotide ribosomal RNA is filed under the name Tulasnella sp. RNAcentral's name for it is "partial large subunit ribosomal RNA". It matches the Rfam family "Bacterial large subunit ribosomal RNA", at positions 1698 to 2074 of the family's 2925-position model. Lineage: Eukaryota; Fungi; Basidiomycota; Agaricomycetes; Cantharellales; Tulasnellaceae. The record is from RNAcentral.
AUACUUGUAAAGGAACUCGGCAAAUUGUCUUCAUAAGUUAGACGAUAUGAAGAACCAUUUUAUAUAAAUAAUAUUUAAAUGGUGUCACAAAAUCGGAGGCCCCGACUGUUUACCUAAAACACAGCUUUCUGCUACGAAUAAUAUUCUGUGUAUAGAAAGCGAAUUUUGCCCAAUGCCAUUAAUAUAAGGUUGGUAAGCGCAUAGCGUAUUUACUGAUUGAAGUUCUGGUCAAUGGCGGUCUUAUCUAUGAGGAUCCUAAGGUAGCAAAAUUAAUUGUCCAUUAAAUGUGGUCCUGACUGAAUAAAGUAACGAUGGUCUCACUGUCUCUACAAGUAUCUCAGUGAAAUUGAAUUAGCCGUGCAGAUGCGGUUUAACUUCG